ACUCAAAAGGCCAGCUUAGAGGUCUUUGAAACGAGUAGCAAGAAAGCCACUGUGUUCCUUGACUCAACGGACACAGUGAACAAUUUUGCACUGCAUUUCAAAGCCAGCUCCUCAGCCAGCUCCUCAGCCACCCCACCUACUAAAGAGCCCAUCAGUGUGCUUUUGAAAAAGUACAAGAUCUUUUCAACCAAAGAUAUAAGGAGGCCGGAGGUACUGGAAGGCUCCCCUACCUAUCCAUUUUAAAUAACGAUGAUGUAACAAUCAAAGUUGCUGGGCUGCCCAUUGGACUUGACCUCAAAGCCCUCCUUCUACGGAAGAAACCAAUUAGAGGCCAUUUUGGCAGCUGCUGACCAAAUUUCAUUUGAAAUAAAUACAACACAAUGCAACCCCACUGACAUGGCAG
Molecule: long non-coding RNA, 403 nt
Organism: Perca fluviatilis (European perch)
Lineage: Eukaryota; Metazoa; Chordata; Actinopteri; Perciformes; Percidae
Exons: 4
Source: RefSeq, a predicted model, not a curated record